GACGCGUAUAAUGUGGCCUCGUCA
Molecule: non-coding RNA, 24 nt
Filed under: Arabidopsis thaliana (thale cress)
Lineage: Eukaryota; Viridiplantae; Streptophyta; Magnoliopsida; Brassicales; Brassicaceae
Source: RNAcentral